This 425-nucleotide ribosomal RNA is filed under the name uncultured bacterium. Its description in RNAcentral is "partial 16S ribosomal RNA". It matches the Rfam family "Bacterial small subunit ribosomal RNA", at positions 354 to 796 of the family's 1533-position model. The record is from RNAcentral.
GUGGGGAAUAUUGGACAAUGGGCGAAAGCCUGAUCCAGCAAUGCCGCGUGAGUGAAGAAGGCCUUAGGGUUGUAAAGCUCUUUUACCCGGGAUGAUAAUGACAGUACCGGGAGAAUAAGCUCCGGCUAACUCCGUGCCAGCAGCCGCGGUAAUACGGAGGGAGCUAGCGUUGUUCGGAAUCACUGGGCGUAAAGCGCACGUAGGCGGCUUUGUAAGUUAGAGGUGAAAGCCCGGGGCUCAACUCCGGAACUGCCUUUAAGACUGCGUCGCUUGAAUCUGGGAGAGGGAAGUGGAAUUCCGAGUGUAGAGGUGAGAUUCGUAGAUAUUCGGAAGAACACCAGUGGCGAAGGCGGCUUACUGGACCAGAAUUGACGCUGAGGUGCGAAAGCGUGGGGAGCAAACAGGAUUAGAUACCCUAGUAGUCC